CCUACGGGAGGCAGCAGUGGGGAAUAUUGCACAAUGGGGGAAACCCUGAUGCAGCGACGCCGCGUGGGUGACGAAGUAUUUCGGUAUGUAAAGCCCUAUCAGAAGGGAAGAAGAGGACAGUACCUGACCAAGAAGCCCCGGCUAACAAAGUGCCGGCAGCCGCGGUAAAACGUAGGGGGCAAGCGUUAUCCGGGUUUACUGGGUGUAAAGGGAGCGUAGGUGGCAUGGCAAGCAAGAAGUGAAAACCCGGGGCUUAACCCCGCGGAUUGCUUUUGGAACUGUCAGGCUGGAGUGCAGGAGGGGCAUGCGGAAUUCCUGGUGUAGCGGUGAAAUGCGUAGAUAUCAGGAGGAACACCGGUGGCGAAGGCGGCCUGCUGGACUCUAACUGACACUGAGGCUCGAAAGCGUGGGGAGCAAACAGGAUUAGAUACCCUGGUAGUC
This 441-nucleotide ribosomal RNA is filed under the name uncultured bacterium. RNAcentral describes it as "partial 16S ribosomal RNA". It matches the Rfam family "Bacterial small subunit ribosomal RNA", at positions 338 to 795 of the family's 1533-position model. The record is from RNAcentral.